CAAAGUUGGCAGAAUUUAUGUGAAUAACUUAGGAUUAUUUAAUAAGAUAUUAUAUAUCUUACUUUGUA
This 68-nucleotide transfer RNA is filed under the name Watasenia scintillans (sparkling enope). Its description in RNAcentral is "tRNA-Leu". The record is from RNAcentral. Lineage: Eukaryota; Metazoa; Mollusca; Cephalopoda; Oegopsida; Enoploteuthidae.